GAUGAGCUUAAAGAAGAUGGAACAUGAGGGAUCAAGUGAUUGUUGUUUGGAGAUAUUGAAGACAUGGUGGUAGAAGUUCAUGAAUAAAAUGAGGAACAUUAAUAAAUUAACCAUGCAAAUUGUUUGCACACUGUUUGGUCAUGAGAUGGCGACCAGACAGAGCCAUCCAAUAAUGACAAUGCAUAUUGAAUGUUUAUUCUCAAUUGAAAUUAGCAUCAAAUGGAGCUUUUGUGGAGCAACACUAAUGCCUAUUAUCCAAAAGGGCAUGAUUGAUCAAGUGUGUAUACUUGCUGUAAGGAG
Molecule: long non-coding RNA, 300 nt
Filed under: Elaeis guineensis (African oil palm)
Lineage: Eukaryota; Viridiplantae; Streptophyta; Magnoliopsida; Arecales; Arecaceae
Description: long non-coding RNA (EGUI_LNC003285)
Source: RNAcentral